GAUGAACGCUGGCGGCGUGCCUAAUACAUGCAAGUCGAGCGAACAGACGGGGAGCUUGCUCCUCUGACGUUAGCGGCGGACGGGUGAGUAACACGUGGAUAACCUACCUAUAAGACUGGGAUAACUUCGGGAAACCGGAGCUAAUACCGGAUAAUAUAUUGAACCGCAUGGUUCAAUAGUGGAAGACGGUUUUGCUGUCACUUAUAGAUGGAUCCGCGCCGCAUUAGCUAGUUGGUAAGGUAACGGCUUACCAAGGCAACGAUGCGUAGCCGACCUGAGAGGGUGAUCGGCCACACUGGAACUGAGACACGGUCCAGACUCCUACGGGAGGCAGCAGUAGGGAAUCUUCCGCAAUGGGCGAAAGCCUGACGGAGCAACGCCGCGUGAGUGAUGAAGGUCUUCGGAUCGUAAAACUCUGUUAUUAGGGAAGAACAAAUGUGUAAGUAACUAUGCACGUCUUGACGGUACCUAAUCAGAAAGCCACGGCUAACUACGUG
This 497-nucleotide ribosomal RNA is filed under the name uncultured bacterium. RNAcentral describes it as "partial 16S ribosomal RNA". It matches the Rfam family "Bacterial small subunit ribosomal RNA", at positions 28 to 507 of the family's 1533-position model. The record is from RNAcentral.